CAGCUGUGCCCUGCUGGGGGGGCGCAGCCCCUCAUCUAUGGGGUGAAAGCCCCCCCAUGAGGGCGAUGCGGAGGGAAACCCCCACACACGGGGGGGGGAACCCCCCCAGAAGGCGCAGAGCCCCCGCGUGUGGGGUGAAAUCACCCACAGCCCCCAAAUAGGGGUGAAAUCCCCAAAGGGGGGGGGGGCAAAAUGCUCUCUGUAGGGUGAAACUCCCCCCAUGGGGUGCAGCCCCAGAUGUGGGGGUGAAAUCCCUUCUGUAGGGUGCAGCCCCCCCAAAUAUGGGGCUCAAUCCCCUCUGUAGGGUGCAGCCCCCCAAAUAUGGGGGCGAAAUCCCCUCCAUACUGUGCAGCCCCCAGAUGUGGGGGUAAAAUACCCCCAUGGGGUUCAGAACCCCAAAUAUGGGGUUCAGUCCCCUCUGUGGGGCGCCAGCCCAAAAUAUGGGGUUCAAUCCCCUCUGUGGGGUGCAGCCCCCCAGAAAUGGGGGCUCAAUCCCCACUGGAGGGUGCAGCCCCCAAAUAUGGGGGUUUGAACCCCUCUGUGGGGUGCAGCCCCCCAGAAAUGGGGGCUCAAUCCCCACUGGAGGGUGCAGCCCCCAAAUAUGGAGGAUCAAUCCCCCCAUGGGGUGCAGCCCCCCAAACAUGGGUCUCAAUCUACUCUAUAGGGUGCAGCCCCCAAAUAUGGGGGUUCAAUCCCUUCUGUGGGGUGCCAGCCCAAAAUAUGGGGGUUCAAUCCCCUCUGUAGGGCGCAGCCCCCCAAAUAUGGGGGUUCACUCCCCUCUGUAGGGUGCAGCCCCCCAGAAAUGGGGGCUCAAUCCCCCCAUGGGGUGCAGCCCCCUAAAUAUGGGGCUCAAUCCCCUGUGUGGGGCGCAGCCCCCUAAAUAUGGGGGUUCAAUACCCUCCAUGGGGUGCAGCCCCCCAACUCCCCUCUGUAGGGUGCAGGCCCUAAAUAUGGGGCUCAAUGCCCCCCUUGGAUGCAGCCCCCCAACUAUGGGGUUCAAUCCCCUCUGUAGGAUGCAGCCCCCCAACUGUAGGGUUUAAUCCCCUCUGUGGGGCGCCAGCCCAAAAUAUGGGGUUCAAUCCCCUCUGUGGGGUGCAGCCCCCCAGAAAUGGGGGCUCAAUCCCCGCUGGAGGGUGCAGCCCCCAAAUAUGGGGCUCAAUCCCCUCUGUAGGGUGCCAGCCCAAAAUAUGGGAGUUCAAUCCCCCAAUGGGGUGCAGCCCCCAAAUAUGGGGUUCAAUCCCCUCCAUGGGGCGCAGCCCCCCAACUAUGGGGUUCAAUCCCCUCUGUAGGGUGCCAGCCCAAAAUAUGGGGCUCAAUCCCCUCUGU
This 1326-nucleotide long non-coding RNA is filed under the name Chrysolophus pictus (golden pheasant). Its description in RNAcentral is "lncRNA (ENSCPIG00010004876.1)". The record is from RNAcentral. Lineage: Eukaryota; Metazoa; Chordata; Aves; Galliformes; Phasianidae.